RNAcentral lists this ribosomal RNA (2793 nucleotides) under Escherichia coli. Its description in RNAcentral is "bacterial LSU rRNA". It matches the Rfam family "Bacterial large subunit ribosomal RNA". Lineage: Bacteria; Pseudomonadati; Pseudomonadota; Gammaproteobacteria; Enterobacterales; Enterobacteriaceae. The record is from RNAcentral.
UUAAGCGACUAAGCGUACACGGUGGAUGCCCUGGCAGUCAGAGGCGAUGAAGGACGUGCUAAUCUGCGAUAAGCGUCGGUAAGGUGAUAUGAACCGUUAUAACCGGCGAUUUCCGAAUGGGGAAACCCAGUGUGUUUCGACACACUAUCAUUAACUGAAUCCAUAGGUUAAUGAGGCGAACCGGGGGAACUGAAACAUCUAAGUACCCCGAGGAAAAGAAAUCAACCGAGAUUCCCCCAGUAGCGGCGAGCGAACGGGGAGCAGCCCAGAGCCUGAAUCAGUGUGUGUGUUAGUGGAAGCGUCUGGAAAGGCGCGCGAUACAGGGUGACAGCCCCGUACACAAAAAUGCACAUGCUGUGAGCUCGAUGAGUAGGGCGGGACACGUGGUAUCCUGUCUGAAUAUGGGGGGACCAUCCUCCAAGGCUAAAUACUCCUGACUGACCGAUAGUGAACCAGUACCGUGAGGGAAAGGCGAAAAGAACCCCGGCGAGGGGAGUGAAAAAGAACCUGAAACCGUGUACGUACAAGCAGUGGGAGCACGCUUAGGCGUGUGACUGCGUACCUUUUGUAUAAUGGGUCAGCGACUUAUAUUCUGUAGCAAGGUUAACCGAAUAGGGGAGCCGAAGGGAAACCGAGUCUUAACUGGGCGUUAAGUUGCAGGGUAUAGACCCGAAACCCGGUGAUCUAGCCAUGGGCAGGUUGAAGGUUGGGUAACACUAACUGGAGGACCGAACCGACUAAUGUUGAAAAAUUAGCGGAUGACUUGUGGCUGGGGGUGAAAGGCCAAUCAAACCGGGAGAUAGCUGGUUCUCCCCGAAAGCUAUUUAGGUAGCGCCUCGUGAAUUCAUCUCCGGGGGUAGAGCACUGUUUCGGCAAGGGGGUCAUCCCGACUUACCAACCCGAUGCAAACUGCGAAUACCGGAGAAUGUUAUCACGGGAGACACACGGCGGGUGCUAACGUCCGUCGUGAAGAGGGAAACAACCCAGACCGCCAGCUAAGGUCCCAAAGUCAUGGUUAAGUGGGAAACGAUGUGGGAAGGCCCAGACAGCCAGGAUGUUGGCUUAGAAGCAGCCAUCAUUUAAAGAAAGCGUAAUAGCUCACUGGUCGAGUCGGCCUGCGCGGAAGAUGUAACGGGGCUAAACCAUGCACCGAAGCUGCGGCAGCGACGCUGAUGCGUUGUUGGGUAGGGGAGCGUUCUGUAAGCCUGUGAAGGUGUGCUGUGAGGCAUGCUGGAGGUAUCAGAAGUGCGAAUGCUGACAUAAGUAACGAUAAAGCGGGUGAAAAGCCCGCUCGCCGGAAGACCAAGGGUUCCUGUCCAACGUUAAUCGGGGCAGGGUGAGUCGACCCCUAAGGCGAGGCCGAAAGGCGUAGUCGAUGGGAAACAGGUUAAUAUUCCUGUACUUGGUGUUACUGCGAAGGGGGGACGGAGAAGGCUAUGUUGGCCGGGCGACGGUUGUCCCGGUUUAAGCGUGUAGGCUGGUUUUCCAGGCAAAUCCGGAAAAUCAAGGCUGAGGCGUGAUGACGAGGCACUACGGUGCUGAAGCAACAAAUGCCCUGCUUCCAGGAAAAGCCUCUAAGCAUCAGGUAACAUCAAAUCGUACCCCAAACCGACACAGGUGGUCAGGUAGAGAAUACCAAGGCGCUUGAGAGAACUCGGGUGAAGGAACUAGGCAAAAUGGUGCCGUAACUUCGGGAGAAGGCACGCUGAUAUGUAGGUGAAGUCCCUCGCGGAUGGAGCUGAAAUCAGUCGAAGAUACCAGCUGGCUGCAACUGUUUAUUAAAAACACAGCACUGUGCAAACACGAAAGUGGACGUAUACGGUGUGACGCCUGCCCGGUGCCGGAAGGUUAAUUGAUGGGGUUAGCCGCAAGGCGAAGCUCUUGAUCGAAGCCCCGGUAAACGGCGGCCGUAACUAUAACGGUCCUAAGGUAGCGAAAUUCCUUGUCGGGUAAGUUCCGACCUGCACGAAUGGCGUAAUGAUGGCCAGGCUGUCUCCACCCGAGACUCAGUGAAAUUGAACUCGCUGUGAAGAUGCAGUGUACCCGCGGCAAGACGGAAAGACCCCGUGAACCUUUACUAUAGCUUGACACUGAACAUUGAGCCUUGAUGUGUAGGAUAGGUGGGAGGCUUAGAAGUGUGGACGCCAGUCUGCAUGGAGCCGACCUUGAAAUACCACCCUUUAAUGUUUGAUGUUCUAACGUUGACCCGUAAUCCGGGUUGCGGACAGUGUCUGGUGGGUAGUUUGACUGGGGCGGUCUCCUCCUAAAGAGUAACGGAGGAGCACGAAGGUUGGCUAAUCCUGGUCGGACAUCAGGAGGUUAGUGCAAUGGCAUAAGCCAGCUUGACUGCGAGCGUGACGGCGCGAGCAGGUGCGAAAGCAGGUCAUAGUGAUCCGGUGGUUCUGAAUGGAAGGGCCAUCGCUCAACGGAUAAAAGGUACUCCGGGGAUAACAGGCUGAUACCGCCCAAGAGUUCAUAUCGACGGCGGUGUUUGGCACCUCGAUGUCGGCUCAUCACAUCCUGGGGCUGAAGUAGGUCCCAAGGGUAUGGCUGUUCGCCAUUUAAAGUGGUACGCGAGCUGGGUUUAGAACGUCGUGAGACAGUUCGGUCCCUAUCUGCCGUGGGCGCUGGAGAACUGAGGGGGGCUGCUCCUAGUACGAGAGGACCGGAGUGGACGCAUCACUGGUGUUCGGGUUGUCAUGCCAAUGGCACUGCCCGGUAGCUAAAUGCGGAAGAGAUAAGUGCUGAAAGCAUCUAAGCACGAAACUUGCCCCGAGAUGAGUUCUCCCUGAC